This 465-nucleotide ribosomal RNA is filed under the name uncultured bacterium. RNAcentral's name for it is "partial 16S ribosomal RNA". It matches the Rfam family "Bacterial small subunit ribosomal RNA", at positions 28 to 507 of the family's 1533-position model. The record is from RNAcentral.
GACGAACGCUGGCGGCGUGCUUAACACAUGCAAGUCGAACGGAAAGGCCCCUUUGUGGGUACUCGAGUGGCGAACGGGUGCGUAACACGUGAGUAACCUGCCCUUGACUUCGGGAUAACUUCAGGAAACUGGGGCUAAUACCGGAUAGGAAUCCUUGCUGCAUGGUGGGGGUUGGAAAGCUUCGGCGGUUUUGGAUGGACUCGCGGCUUAUCAGCUUGUUGGUGGGGUAGUGGCUUACCAAGGCUUUGACGGGUAGCCGGCCUGAGAGGGCGACCGGCCACAUUGGGACUGAGAGACGGCCCAGACUCCUACGGGAGGCAGCAGUGGGGAAUAUUGCAGAAUGGGCGGAAGCCUGAUGCAGCAACGCCGCGUGCGGGAUGACGGCCUUCGGGUUGUAAACCGCUUUCAGCAGGGGCGAAGCUUGUGGUGACGGUACCUGCAGAAGAAGCACCGGCUAACUACGUG